AGUUUAGAAAACAAAAAAAAAAAAAAAAAGAAGAAUGAUUGAAAGUUAGUUGAGGUUGCCAAAAUUUUGCAAACCUACCAGACAAACAACCUCCACCUUCCAAUUUCAUUGUGGCGCCCCGCCCAGCCCCCAAUACGUAUUGCGACUCGCUAGUCCCUACAGCAUUCUUGCUCCGGGACUAUUUCCAAGUGCAGCGCGCGCGCAUUGUAAAACACAUUCUUUCUUUCUUAAUUCCGGGUAUAGUAGUGCCUCAAUACUGUUCCUGCUAUCUACGAUGUGGCGGUCACUUUGGCCUACAAUCGACCGCUUCUCUCUUCACCACUUCAGAUAUAUUGUAAACCAACUGCGGGAAAUCAGAGUCGUUGACAAGCGCAACCGGGAAGUAGUUUUGGAUUUGCUUCAAUCAAUUGUGGAAAUAGUUACCUAUGGCGAUCGGCAUGAUCCAGCGAUUUUCGAAUGUUUCAUGGAAUUUCAAGUUUUAGCAGAGUUUGUUCGUAUACUAAAGAUUGGUGGGAAUUCAGGAAUUGAGGCACCACUCUUGCAGUAUUUGAGCAUAAUGAUCCAGAACGUGGAAAAUGAACAUGCCAUCUACUAUUGUUUCAGCAAUGGCUAUAUCAACAGCGUAAUAUCACAUCAUUAUGAGUUCGAUGGGGGAGAUCUAAUUCCUUAUUAUGUAUCCUUUCUGAGAACAGUUAGUGGGAAAAUAGGUAGAGACACAAUCUGUCUUCUUGUAAAGGUUCACCAGGACACUGCAAUCUCAUUGCCGUUGUAUGAUGAGGCUCUUAAAUUUGCUAACCAUGGGGAAAAGAUGAUACAGAUAGCAGUUCGUGCACUGACCCUUAACAUUUAUAAUGUUGCUGAUGAGAUGGUCUAUCAAUUUCUAACAACUCCUACUGCUUCUGCAUACUUUUCUAGCUUGAUUCUGAAUUUAAAAAAUAAGUGCUUGCAUGUUGAUGCUAUCAUCAAUGGGGUAAAGGAGAGUUUCCAUGAAAAGAAAAGAGACCUUCUUUCAGAAACUGAUAGAAUUUUGGAUGACUUCUAUUACCUGAAGGACAUACUGUGCAUUCCUGAGCAGCGCUUGAACAAACUUGUUACAGAGAACAUUGUUAACAUGCUUAUUUUGCCGAUGUUGCUUACUCUACUAAACAAUAGGCUAAGCAAUGACACUGGUCUAUCUGCAAUCACUUGUCUCUAUGUUCUUUGUCGUCUUCUUCAAGUUUUUGAUGGAACGAAUUUGGUUAAUGUUAUCGGCAGUGCUGUUCUAUUUUCUUUUAUGCCUCCGAAUGUGACAGAUGCUGCUGAGUCUGUUGUAUCUGCUAGACUUGAGCAGGUGAAUGGUCUUGCAGUCUGUUAUCAGGAAGGGGAAGAAAUGGUAGAUCUUCAGCAUGAGGGGGCAGAAAACUUCAUGAUGAACUAUGUUCUUAAGCAUUCAUUGGAGUUCACAGAACUGAGCUCUUGUUUUGACAGUUCACCGCUGGAGAAUUCGGAAAAUGAAUGGGGUGGAAUAUUUAGUUGUAUUUUCUCCCGUAAUCACAGUCUAAUGCUAGGUUCUUUGAUGUUAUUGUUUACAGUGGCUGACAGUAAAGAUCUUCAUUACCAGUUGGCUGCAAAGAUAGGAUUUUCUCAAGUAAAGACUGCUUCAGAGAUGAUUGGAAGCACUUUUGCGGGACACAUACAGAAGAUUGUGAAUCAAUUAUUGAAGGUUUUGGCGAGUGAACCACCAUUGUCAGUACCAAUAUUGUUGCAUGCAGCUUGGUUUUUGCGAAAGUUGUUGGUUUUUCUGGACCAGAAGUUAGAGGACAAUGAUUGUCACCUCUUCAAGACCUCAUAUGAGGUCUCUUGUGGACAUCUUUAUGAAGAAUUUGAUCGAUGCUGGUUUGACCAUAUUCCAGAUGUGUUAAAAAGCGAAUGGGCCAACUGUAAAACAGCACUUGAAGAAUCAUCACAGUCCAAGGAUCCUUUCUUUCUUCUAGAACUUGCAUCUAUUCAAAAUCCUCCAAGUGGUAGUAUGGCGUUUCUUCUACUCUCUUCCUUCCUUCUUUUAUUCAUGUUUCUUUUGUUUUAUCUCUGCUGUCUGCUUUUAAAAAGUAUAGUCUUACCACCUGCUAGUUUUCUAUUUAACAUCUCAGGCAAUACCGGUCCUGCUUUUGAUUGGCAACGGAUGGUUGAUUGUGUCAAGGUUUUUGUUCUCCAUCUUCAACUGAAGCCAUUUAUUUUUGGGGGUGAUCCUUUUGAUAAUCCUUUGGCAAAUUUGAAAAACAGCUACUUGGCUCAAUCGGGGAAAAGAUAUCCUUCAGAUCUUUCAUUGGCAAGCUUCGGUUCAGAGGUUCUGGAAUCCCCUGUAAAAUUGCAUUUUCUGGAGCUGGGACAAGAGAUAUUUAUGUGAUACCAAUUGCAAGGGAAAUAUCUGGUAAAUUGCUACUUGUGGAACGGCAUCCGUUACACUCUAGAAAAGGAGUUGUAAUUGCCAUUGCUCCAUUGGCUGGAUUGGAUCCCAAGAUAGACGAGGAGCAUCCUACAUGGUUGCUAGUGCAUCUUAGAGACUUUGAGCCAAGACUCCGAUCAGAUGAGACGAAAACACUCGACUCCCAUACAUCACUCCCUGAACAAGGAAGAUGGAUACUUGGAUUUUUGAGCGCCAAAGAUUGCAAGGCUGCUUUCUCGGUGAUACUCGAGGAAACCAGAAAACAGAGGUCCUUUGUGGAGAACUUGGUUGCUCCGGUACUGGAAGAGAAAUUGUUCAAAUAGUCGUCAACAAAAUGCUGGGGCAGUUUGAAUGCCGAGUAACAGCUCCUAUAACCCACAACACAUUAAUAAUACCCUGUACAUCUCCUCCUUGUUUUUGUUGAUGAAGCUAAUUGGAUUAUAAGCACGCCUUGUGGUUUUCUAUUCCCUCCAUGUAUUAUAUCUGCCUCUCUAGCAGCAAUGACAAAAACAACACAACGUAUUGAUAAAAGCGACAGGCUCUGCUACAGGAUUUUUUU
Molecule: RNA transcript, 2984 nt
Organism: Coffea arabica (coffee)
Lineage: Eukaryota; Viridiplantae; Streptophyta; Magnoliopsida; Gentianales; Rubiaceae
Gene name: protein TRANSPARENT TESTA 9
Source: RefSeq, a predicted model, not a curated record